Strigops habroptila (Kakapo) is the source of this 2346-nucleotide long non-coding RNA. Lineage: Eukaryota; Metazoa; Chordata; Aves; Psittaciformes; Psittacidae. The record is from Ensembl.
UAGAUUUAUUAUUAUUUGAGGCACUUAAUGUCUUACAUUUAUAUAGCGCCGAUUUCUCCUCCAAAACACUUUACAGUAUAUACAUACAGGAAUGUUUCCCACCACUGUUGAAAUGCAGCCAUCUGACUACUACCAGUACCAUCUUCAAAACACCAACCAUCUGAGACUGGAAAUAUCCAUCAGUACUUUGUCUUGCUAGUUCAGAAUUCCAAUGUACAAACUUCCAUCUUGUGCUAUUAAAAAGACGUAACAGCUAAAAUACAGUAUCACAGUGCAAUUCUGCAACAGAACUGAGACAUGGAGCAUUGCCAUUAGAUUUGUUACAAUCUUUCAUUAGAUCAAGUCUAUCUCAAAAUACUUUAAGGCCUUUUAAGAAUAUCGUUCUAAAACAUCAUUCUUGUUUAUACUUUCUUUAUAAGCCUCUCUUACAAUCAAGCGCGGAAGAAUGUUUUUCUUUCCUUCCAGUAUAUUCAGAAACACUUAGUCCUGGCCCUAAGGAGAUAUGAGCAUCCUCAGUUCCAGUGAACUUCACGGCAUCUAAAGGCAAACCUAUUCCUCCUUGCUCAUGGAGUUGGAUUUUUAAUUUGAUUUUAGUAUUUGAAAUUAAUCUGAGAUUACACACGAUUCUGUUAUUAACCAAUUGAAAUGUAAAGUACCUUGGGAUUGGCUGUUGGGGUGCUAUGGAAGUGAGCUGUGUGGGGGUUUGCUUGCCAGUGUCAAAAUACAUUAAAGAAUACCAAGUUCACUACUCCACUGCAAAGCCUGCCCUAGCCACAAAGUUAACAGCAACUUCUCAUUUUAGAGAUUUUUAACUUGUAUAUUUAAAAGGUUACUAAAAGAUCCCUUCCGAGAGAAGUUGCAUUUGUGCUGAGAACUUUCACAAAAAGAAACAAAACCAAACCCCCAAAACCCCACACAACAAACUAUCUGGCAUCCCUAUUGUCAUGGUUACCAUUAACAAAAGACUAUCACCUCACAUACAGCACGCUGCUACCUGCUACGUUAUGGCUGAUGUGAGAAUCUGAAGGAACAGAAAGAAAAUUAGUAAAAUGAGAUAUCUGUUUGCCUUCUUGUGGAUCAAGCAUGGAAAUUUACUCAGGUACCUUACUCUCUUGAAUACGUCACACCUCAGAGAGGCUUUUUUUGAUUUUCAUUGAUGCAUUAUACUAUGAAUCUACUGUGGUCACUAGAUUCUUGUACCAGUGUAGCUGUUUGCAUUUGAGUACUAUGAAAGAAUAAUAGCACUAACCAGAAUGGGCACGGACAAGGAUAAAAGGAAAAGUAUUAACAGGUAGUGAUUUCAACACAAAAGAUGAUGACUGAUCAAAUCUGGUAAAAACUGACAGACAGAAGUGCAUUCAAGUAUGUACCCAUUCUAUAAAAAACCGGGUUUGUUUUUAAUCUAAACCCUUGAUAAAAGAUGCACAGAGAACAGAUUUAUUGCAUAUUUUAUGCAUGCCUUCAUGUAGUGCAUUCCUACAUUGUAUCUGAUAUGGAACACUAAAAAACUACUAGACCUUCACUGAACAACACGUAUUGGUAAUUUGUGUUUUAAAGCCUGAACAGUGAUUCAGUUUGAGUUAUACCUUCCUCUUCCCCGAUCACAAAAAAAAACCAUCACCUUGCUGCAUUUAUGUUUGUCAAAGUCACAUGGCAACCACAAAAUAAUUUGUGUAGAGAAAACAGUUGCAGUAAACUAUUUAAAGAGUUGGGUUUCUACAAGGGGAUUUGGCAGCUGGAACAAGAAAACCAGCAGGGACUAGAGGUCCUUAGACAACAGGGAGAAUCACUGGUGAAUAAUUUGUAUCAGAAAUCAAGAAACCUCAUGAUGAAUAAGAGGAUAAAUAUGAAGGAUGAAAGCGUCAUUGUAGGCUUUACAGCCUAAAAGACCAAGCAAGUCCCAUUAUCACUUAGUUUCAAUCUCAGGUCUGAAAGGCAGCUAAAACCAUGAGGAGAUAUCUUCUUUGUUUUUUUUUGAAGAGGGCAAAGAGGAAUUUGGAAAAAGCACCUGCUGUAUUACAGGACUGAACACACAAAGGACAGACAAGAGUCUGCUAUUUCACAGAUUAACAUUCUUGAGUCCAUGCUAACCCCUUCUGAUUUCAAGAGAAGAAUGACUGGACCCACAUUCUCUUAUUCUCUUCUCUGUUUCUUCUUGUGGGAGCCAUUCAUUUCUUCAGAGCUGAAAAUAUGCACGAGAUUGUUUUAUACUAGAAGCGUGACUUUUCUUUCCUUUUCUUCCUGCUCAUUUCUUUCCUCCCUCAACUUCCUCUCAACUCUUCAUUACCCAAGUAUUUCUCUGACACAAAAAGUGCUGCUGGGGUAGGGGAUGGAUGAAUCUCUUGC